This 253-nucleotide ribosomal RNA is filed under the name uncultured bacterium. Its description in RNAcentral is "partial 16S ribosomal RNA". It matches the Rfam family "Bacterial small subunit ribosomal RNA", at positions 524 to 776 of the family's 1533-position model. The record is from RNAcentral.
UACGUAGGGGGCAAGCGUUGUCCGGAUUUAUUGGGCGUAAAGAGCGUGUAGGCGGCUUCACAGGUCCGCUGUGAAAACUCGAGGCUCAACCUCGAGCUGUCGGUGGAAACCGUGUGGCUAGAGUCCGGAAGAGGAGAGUGGAAUUCCCGGUGUAGCGGUGAAAUGCGCAGAUAUCGGGAAGAACACCCGUGGCGAAGGCGACAUCCUGGACCGGUAUUGACGCUGAGGCGCGAAAGCCAGGGGAGCAAACGGG